Molecule: transfer RNA, 85 nt
Filed under: Felis catus (domestic cat)
Lineage: Eukaryota; Metazoa; Chordata; Mammalia; Carnivora; Felidae
Rfam family: tRNA
About the family: Transfer RNA (tRNA) molecules are approximately 80 nucleotides in length. Their secondary structure includes four short double-helical elements and three loops (D, anti-codon, and T loops).
Source: Rfam by way of RNAcentral
GCCUGGGUGGCUCAGUCAGUUGAGCAUCUGACUUCAGCUCAGGUCAUGAUCUCACUGUUCGUGAGUUCGAGCCCCGCAUCAGGCU